Mus musculus (house mouse) is the source of this 81-nucleotide non-coding RNA. The record is from Rfam. Lineage: Eukaryota; Metazoa; Chordata; Mammalia; Rodentia; Muridae.
AAUGCGGGUCCUCAGGCUACAACACAGGACCCGGGCGCUGCUCUGACCCCUCGUGUCUUGUGUUGCAGCCGGAGGGACGCA